RNAcentral lists this ribosomal RNA (506 nucleotides) under uncultured bacterium. RNAcentral describes it as "partial 16S ribosomal RNA". It matches the Rfam family "Bacterial small subunit ribosomal RNA", at positions 29 to 523 of the family's 1533-position model. The record is from RNAcentral.
AGUGAACGCUGGCGGUAGGCCUAACACAUGCAAGUCGAACGGCAGCACAGGAGAGCUUGCUCUCUGGGUGGCGAGUGGCGGACGGGUGAGGAAUACAUCGGAAUCUACUCUGUCGUGGGGGAUAACGGAGGGAAACUUACGCUAAUACCGCAUACGACCUACGGGUGAAAGCAGGGGACCUCCGGGCCUUGCGCGAUUGAAUGAGCCGAUGUCGGAUUAGCUAGUUGGCGGGGUAAAGGCCCACCAAGGCGACGAUCCGUAGCUGGUCUGAGAUGAUGAUCAGCAACACUGGAACUGAGACACGGUCCAGACUCCUACGGGAGGCAGCAGUGGGGAAUAUUGGACAAUGGGCGCAAGCCUGAUCCAGCCAUACCGCGUGGGUGAAGAAGGCCUUCGGGUUGUAAAGCCUUUUUGUUGGGAAAGAAAUCCAGCUGGCUAAUACCCGGUUGGGAUGACGGUACCCAAAGAAUAAGCACCGGCUAACUUCGUGCCAGCAGCCGCCGCCG